GAAAAAUAUUUAAUACAUUUAACGAACAAAAAACAUUUUAAAGACAUAUAGGUCGAGUCACGUUUAGUAUGCCAAAAUGGAAAAACAACUGCAUUGAACGUCAUAAAUGUCAAUUAAAGUAAUGUUGUGGUUAAGGUAACUACCAGGGUAUCAUAAUUAUGUAGGACUUUAAUGAAUUUCAUGUCUUGAAAUGUUUAAGUUAAUAGUAACCCCAAC
RNAcentral lists this long non-coding RNA (216 nucleotides) under Mytilus galloprovincialis (Mediterranean mussel). Lineage: Eukaryota; Metazoa; Mollusca; Bivalvia; Mytilida; Mytilidae. The record is from RNAcentral.